RNAcentral lists this ribosomal RNA (464 nucleotides) under uncultured bacterium. RNAcentral's name for it is "bacterial SSU rRNA". It matches the Rfam family "Bacterial small subunit ribosomal RNA", at positions 331 to 792 of the family's 1533-position model. The record is from RNAcentral.
CCAGACUCCUACGGGAGGCAGCAGUGAGGAAUAUUGGUCAAUGGGCGCAAGCCUGAACCAGCCAAGUCGCGUGAGGGAAGACGGCCCUACGGGUUGUAAACCUCUUUUGCCGGGGAGCAAGCCUGAGCACGUGUGCCCAGGCGGAGAGUACCCGGAGAAAAAGCAUCGGCUAACUCCGUGCCAGCAGCCGCGGUAAUACGGAGGAUGCGAGCGUUAUCCGGAUUUAUUGGGUUUAAAGGGUGCGCAGGCGGGCUUUUAGGCCGGGGGUAAACGCCGGGGGCUAAACCCCGGCGAGCCGUUGAAACUGGCUGUCUUGAGAUGUCGAGAGGUAUGCGGAAUGCGCAGUGUAGCGGUGAAAUGCUUAGAUAUUGCGCAGAACUCCGAUUGCGAAGGCAGCAUACCGGCGGCGAUCUGACGCUGAGGCACGAAAGCGUGGGUAUCGAACAGGAUUAGAUACCCCUGUA